This 3279-nucleotide long non-coding RNA is filed under the name Pongo abelii (Sumatran orangutan). Its description in RNAcentral is "lncRNA (ENSPPYG00000033480.1)". The record is from RNAcentral. Lineage: Eukaryota; Metazoa; Chordata; Mammalia; Primates; Hominidae.
AUGGGACUCCUAAUGGCAUUUCAGUCUGUUGCUGAGGCCAUUAUAUUUUAAUAUAAAUGUAGAAAAAGGAGACAAAUCUUAGUAAAGUGUAUUUUUUAGUAUUAGCUUGAUUAUUGACUCUUCUAUUUAAAUCUGCUUCUGUAAAUUAUGCUGAAAGUUUGCCUUGAGAACUCUAUUUUUUUAUUAGAGUUAUAUUUGAAGCUUUUCAUGGGAAAAGUUAAUGUGAAUACUGAGGAAUUUUGGUCCCUCAGUGACCUGUGUUGUUAAUUCAUUAAUGCAUUCUGAGUUCACAGAGCAAAUUAGGAGAAUCAUUUCCAACCAUUAUUUACUGCAGUAUGGGGAAUAAAUUUAUACCAAUUCCUCUAACUGUACUGUAACACAGCCUGUAAAGUUAGCCAUAUAAAUGCAAUGGGUAUAUCAUAUAUACAAAUCAGGAAUCAGGUCCAUUCACCGAACUUCAAAUUGAUGUUUACUAAUAUUUUUGUGACAGAGUAUGAAGACCCUGUGGUGGGUAAAUUAGAUACCAUUAGCAUAUUAUUAAUUUAAUGUCUUUAUCAUUGGAUCUUUUGCAUGCUUUAAUCUGGUUAACAUAUUUAAAUUUGCUUUUUUUCUCUUUACCUGAAGGCUCUGUGUAUAGUAUUUCAUGACAUCAUUGUAAAGUUUAACUCUAUCAAUAAAAAGUUUGGACAGUAUUUAAAUAUUGCAAAUAUGUUUAAUUAUACAAAUCAGAAUAGUAUGGGUAAUUAAAUCAAUAAAAAGAGAAGAGCCUCUUUCUGCAGCCAGCUUAGACUUGCUCUUCCCUUUCUGUAAGCUAGAUUUUAGAAUAAAGGGUUUCAGUUAAUAAUCUUAUUUUCAGGUUAUGUAAUCUAAGUUAUAGCAAACUACCACAAUACAGUGAGUUCUGCCAGUGUCCCAGUGCAAGGCAUAUUUUCAGGUGUGGCUAUGGAAUGUAAAUUGUUAAAAGUCUAAAAUGCUAAACUUGUAUCAGGUAACGUUAGCAAUAAAUUACAAUGCUAAGGAUGAUUAAUCGGGUACAUGUUACUGUAAUUAACUCAUUGCACUUCAAAACCUAACUUCCAUCCUGAAUUUAUCACGUAGUUCAGUAUUGUCAUUUGUUUUUGUUUUAUUGAAAAGUAAUGUUGUCUUAAGAUUUAGAAGUGAUUAUUAGCUUAAGAACUAUUACCCAGCUCUAGGCAAAUAAUGAUUGUAUACAUAUUAAGAAAAUGGUUAAAUGCGGUUUUACCAAAAGUUUUCCCUUGAAAAUGUCAUUCCUUUAUGGAGAUUUAUUGUGCAGCCCUAAGCUUCCUUCCCAUUUCAUGAAUAUAAGGCUUCUAGAAUCGGACUGGCAGGGGAAAGAAUGGUAGAGACAGAAAUUAAGACUUUAUCUUUGUUUGCUUGUAAACUAUUUUCUUGCUAAUGUAACAUUUGUCCGUUCCAGUGAUGUAAGGAUAUUAAGUUAUUAAGCUAAAUAUUAAUUUUCAAAAAUAGUCCUUCUUUAACUUAGAUAUUCCAUAGCUGGAUUUAGGAAGAGCUAUUAUUCUAGAAAUAGUAAAAGAAUAAUACAACAUACAAUGUCUGCAUUCACUAAUUCAUGUUCCAGAAGAGGAAAUACUGAAGAUAUACUCAGUAGAGUACUGUAGUGGAGGAUAUGGAAAUUUGCUCAUAAAAUCUCUUAUAAAACAUACGUAUAACAAACAAAAUGACAUCCAAUAGGCCUGCAUUAUAUUUACAUGACAGUGUUUAUUUGCCAUCAAAUAAACUGAGUACCGACACUAGACAAAGACUCCAAAGUCAUAAAAUAGCCUGUGACCAACUGCAGCAAGACAGGAGGUCAGCUCGCCUAUAAUGGUGCUUAAAGUGUGAUUGAUGUAAUUUUCUGUACUCACCAUUUGAAGUUAGUUAAGGAGAACUUUAUUUUUUUAAAAAAAGUAAAUGGCAUCCACUAAUGUGCUCAUCCUGAACUGUUACUCCAAAUCCACUGUUUUUAAAGCAAAAUUAUCUUGUGAUUUUAAGAAAAGAGUUUUCUAUUUAUUUAAGAAGUAACAAUGCAGUCUACAAGUUUUCAGUAGUUUUCUAGUGCUAUGUUCAUCUUGCAGAACUCUUACUACAUAACCAGUAAUCACAAGGAAAGUGUCCCCUUUGCAUAUUUCUUUAAAAUUCUUUGGAAAGGAUGAUGUUGAUAAUUAACUUACCCUUAUCUGCCAAAACUAGAGCAAACUGCUAAAUAUGUUAUUGCUAGUUAAUCAAUCAGUGGUCUCAAAUCGAUUUGCCUCCCUUUGCCUCGUCUGAGGGCUGUAAGCCUGAAGAUAGUGGCAAGCACCAAGUCAGUUUCCAAAAUUGCCCCUCAGCUGCUUUAAGUGACUCAGCACCCUGCCUCAGCUUCAGCAGGCAUAGGCUCACCCUGGGCGGAGCAAAGUAUGGGCCAGGGAGAACUACAGCUACGAAGACCUGCUGUCGAGUUGAGAAAAGAGGAGAAUUUAUGGUUUGAAUUUUCUAUCUAUCUGUCCUCUUUCUUGGGUCUAAAGCUCAUAAUAUACAAAGGCUUCCAGACCUGAGCCACGCCCAGGCCCUACCUAUCCUGAACGGGAGACUAAACAGAGGCAAAUCAACCUUAGGAAAUACUUGCAUUCUGCCCUACGAUUAGUACCAGGACUGAGGUCAUUUCUACUGCAAAAGAUUGUGAGAUUGAACUUUUCUGAUCGCUUGAGACUCCUAAUAGGAGUCAAGGCCACUAGAAAAUUGACAGUUAAGAGCCAAAAGUUUUUAAAAUAUGCUACUCUGAAAAUCUCGUGAAGGCUGUAGGAAAAGGGAGAAUCUUCCAUGUUGGUGUUUUUCCUGUAAAGAUCAGUUUGGGGUAUGAUAUAAGCAGGUAUUAAUAAAAAUAACACCAAAGAGUUAUGUCAAACAUGUUUUAUUAAUUUUGGUCCCCACUUAUAGACAUUUUAUUUCUAUCAUCUUGAAAUGAGUUAUCUAUUUUCAUAAAACAUUACUGAAGUGCUGUUUUAUGUGAAAUAACUCGAAUGUUGUUCCUAUAAAAAAUAGAUCAUAACUAAUAUGUUUGUAAUAAUGGUAAUUUAGAUUUUUAUGAGGAAUGAGUAUCUGGAAAUAUUGUAGCAAUACUUACUUAGUUUAAAAUUUUGGACCUGAGACACUGUGGCUGUCUAAUGUAAUCCUUCAAAAAUUCUCUGCAUUGUCAGUAAAUGUAGCAUAUUAUUGUACAGCUCUCCAUAAUUUUUUAAAGUUUAUGAAGUUAUAUUUAUGAAAUAAAAAUUUUCCUAU